UCCUUGUUCUCUGUUUAUGAUGCCUCUUCUCAUUGUGCUCAUAUUUCCUGGAUACCUACCCUUGCCUAAAAAGAUCAAGCCUUUUAUGUUACACUUGAUCACCUUAAGUCGUCCAGUGUCCUUGUUGAGGUUAUCAGUUCUCUUUAUUUUUAAAUAUAUCUAGGAGGCCUCCAAAAACUGAGAGAUACAGGAAUAAAACUUUCCUGGCCUUGAAUUUAAAGAAGAAGUCAGGUUCAUAGUAACACUACACUCAUCGGUAUGUUGGCCUCCAAAAGACAUUUGCUCAGUUACAUACACCUUUUAUAUUCCCCCCCCCAAAAAAAGGAUUAUAAAGAUUAUAUAAAUUGUGUUUAUCACCUUUCCACUCAUUCUCUAAGAGCAAGGACAUGACACAUGGGCCCUUAGAUCAGGAGCUAUGAUCUCUUCCAUAACAGUCUCUUACUUCUAUAACAAAUGAGCCCCUAAACAUCCAGCUGUCUCUGUAAAACCUAUGUAAAUAAUAAAUAAAAAAUUACAUGUCAAAUGAAAAAAAUUAAAACUCAAUGGGCCAGAUAGAUAUGCCCCCCAAGGUACUAAUCAAUAGUGGGGUACGUUUGGUUCCUGGAGCUCAUGGCUCACCUGGCUAUUACUACUCUUGGGACCCCUCAGUAGUAUCUGUUUAAUUCUCUGGUUUGGACCGUGCCUGGUUCGCUGUUUUCAAAAUUUCUUGCAGAAACGAUUGAGGGCAUUCACCAGCCAGACAGUCACAGAGUUCAUCAUGGCAGGGUAUCAGCCAGUACGGCAAAAGGAAGAGGCCCCCACUUGCCACGGGCCUCAUCAGAUCCAGGUCUAGCCCCAAUCUGCGCCCCUUGUCAGCAGGAAGCAGCUCCAGAAGAAGAGACCUUCACCCAACUAUCAUACAACAAAAGCCUGGAAUGAUAGGUCUCCCACCACCUCAGCAGCUAUUAAGUACAGUAGCUGCCCUCUUCCUAUGGUGCCUUGCCCCUUCCCCUGUGUGAUGUCAUGCCAAGAUGGUUGCUCCCACCAAAGAACAAACCCUUCUUCCCAGCAUGCCCCUGUUCCCACCUAGACAGUAACCUAAUACUCGCUCACCUCCUACCACCUAGUGACAUCACCGGCUCCUCCACUCCCUGAUCACUACCUCACUCAACCCCACCUCAGCCCCUACAAGCCCCACCCCAGUCUCUAUAAAAGACUCUCCCUGCCCCGGCCAUAUUGCUUUUGUCUCUCCUUUGUUCAGAGACAGCCCGGCAGAUCUAUUCCCCUAAUAAAGGCUUGCUGUGGCCUGGUCUGGUCUUGGUCUUCGGCCCUUUUACCUGACACCGGUGACCACAUUUUAUGACACAACAGUUUUCAGCCUGUGAAAAUAGUCUCUCGGGAAGAGAUGUGGAACUGUAAGAGGUUAUAGUGUCCUAUCUGACAACUUGCAUGUUUGCAUUAACCCUUUACAUUCAUACAUCAUUGUCUCCUGCUCUGUUGCUCAUAAUCCCCAAGACUCUUGAGAAGUGAGCAGGACUGAAAGGUGCAUCGCAUGGAGUGUAAGUAAAGAGCUUAUUGAGAGUGAGAAUGCAGUUGAUUUGGUUUUUUUUAUGGUACUGGGAAUUGAACCCAGGAUCAAUGGGCUGCCUCUCCAGUCCUUUUAUUUUUUAUUUUGAGACAAAGUCUCACUAAGUUGCCCACACAAGACUCAAACUGGUGAUCAUCCUGCCUCAGCCUCCUUCAGAACUGGGUGUUUUAAAUUUUGUUUUGUUUUUUCAAUCCUACUCCAUUUCUCUUGCUAGGAAAUGACAUUAUUUUAUUAUAAUUUCUCAUUAUUUCCUACAGGAGCCAGCCCCACUGAUUUCAGAGGGCCAUCUAGGGAAAGGUGAAAGAAAUAUGCAUGUUAUCCUAUACACAGAGGGCCUUCCUCUGUCUAAAAGUAAUGCUUGUCCUAGCAAGGCCUUAGUCUGUAUGUGUUCCCAUGUGUGUGAGCUGUUCAGGGAUUACACAUACAUUUUAAAAUAUAUCUAUCAAAAAACCAAUCCAUUGAUCAAUCAAUCAUGUGCCUAAAUUUAUUUUGAAGGUAAGAAAAUGCAUAGUCAUACAUUAAUACCUGUUACUUGGAUUCUUAUAAAUUAGCAAUGUUUUUAAGGAUUCAGGGAGGGGUUUUUGACAGAAACAAAAAUCACUGACUUAAUAUUUGCUUAUAGAUCCAACAAUUUUUAUGAGCUUCUACACACUUGGUAGAUAAUGUACAAGGUAUCAAGAUUGUAAUAUGUAGUCUCUAUUCUCAUAGCUGCUUCUAAUCAAGAAUAAUAUAUUCAAUAUUUCUGUUAGGAGUAAAUUACUAUAUAAGAAUUUCCAUUCAAGCAUAAAAUCAUGUGUCAGAUGGCUAUUACAUCCUACGAGUGCCCCAAGAAGGGGAAAAUAGUGUGUUCUAGAAAGGCAUCUCUGUGAAGGAGCAGAGAAUUGGCUACACCUCGAACGAUGAGGAACAUUUAAACAGGUACAACAGUGGUAGGAGUGAGGUGAUGAACCUGGUUUUAUGUUGUUACUAGAGAAGCUGGACCUGAAUUAAAGUUGAGCAUGUAUUAUCUCAGAUACUUCUGAACCUGGGAGAUGAAGGUGAGUCUGCCCCUUCCAUAGGUAGGCCUGGUACCUGAGCCUGGGGAUGUGGUCUGGGGGAAGCUGGGGAGAUCUUUGAGUGCAUGCCUCAGAGACCGAGGGACUGUCCAUUUUCAUCUGGACAUACAUUAUAGACAUACCUUCUUAAAUUGGCUUGUGUUAACUUGGAAGUUUAGUACAGCACAGUUUAUCAUAGAAUAAGAAUAGACCCCCAUGAAAAAUGUGGAACUAAGUUUAACUAUUAUGAGAACAUGAGGAGGCUUCACCAUCUCUUAGUUCAGAGCUGCUCUCUUUUCUUGAGAGAUAAGCAGUGAAGGCCCUUCUGUGUAGGCUUUUGAGACUCACACUAUGACCACUGCAAUAGUUUGAAUCUUCUGUGUCCUCAUAGAUCCAUGUGUUAAAGGCUUGGUCCCAGUGUGGCACUAUUGACAGAUACUGAAACCCUUAGGAGGUGGAGUCUAGUGGGAGGAAGUUAAGUCAUUGAGGGGCGUGUCCUUGAGAUAUCGGGAUGCUAGCCCCUCCUCUCUCUUUGCUCCUUGGCUCAUGAUAUAGGUGGUUUACCCUGCUACUCUGCUACGUGGUCUGCUUAAGAUGCACUGCCUCGCCACAGGCCAAACCAAAGGGGCCAAUGAAAAUGGGCUGGAACCUCCAAAAGUCUGUACUUGGAAAGGAAACAGCCCCCAGAGACCCUCCUUGUGAUUUCCAGAUGGCAGGAUGCCUCCUAUUAGUAGGACCUAACUGGAAGCCAACUGGAGAAAAUGCCCAUAACUGGUUGAAAACUUCCAUGUGCAGAAGUCCAAGAAAUCCCAACCUCCAGCCAGCAACCAAUGCAAGACUACUAUCCUGAUGUACUGUCACACUGGAGUCAUUUAAAGUCAGUUUUUCUAUGGCACUCUUCAGGUUAUUAUAUUCAGACUGAUCUAUAGGAUACAUUCCUGCAAAUACCAUUGGUUUCACUGAUUUAAAUACAGGCAAGGGCUCCACUGGAUGAUUAUGUAAAUACAACGUAUCUCCUAUUUGUGCUUCAGUGACAUCUUUCAUCCCAGCAAUCAAAUAGCCCACCUGUCCUGCAUAUAAUUUAAGAGUUGGCUGCUCAUUAGGAUUCAGAACUCCUGCUUCAUUAACUUUGCAUGUCUUUUGAGUAUGUGCUGAUACAAUUUUAUCUCCUUUGGAAACCCACUCCAUCAAACAACACUACAUUGGCUAUCACACCUCUAUAUUGGUCAAAGGUGGAGUCAAAUACCAAAACUCUCAGAGGAUUUUUGCGAUGCACCUUAGGAAGGGGUAUUCUUUCAAUAACUGCCUGAAGAACAUGUUCAACAUUUGUUCCAAGUUUAGCAGAAAUCUUAAUACAAUCAUCACUUGGAAUAUCAAAUACUUUUUCAAUUUGUUUUUCAACCCUUUCAGGAUGUGCAUUCUUCAGAUCUGUCUUGUUUAUAACUGGAAUUAUUGACAGCUGUGCUUCAAAAGCAAGAAAGAAGUUUGCUACAGUUUGGGCUUGAAUACCCUCAUUUGCAUCGACCACCAGUAAAACACCCUGGCAAGCAGAAAGUGACCUGGAUACUUCAUAACUGAAAUCAACAUGGCCUGGUGUAUCAAUAAGAUUUAAAACGUACUCCUUUCCUUCAAAAUUGUAAAAAAGAGAUGCUGUCUGUGCUUUAACAGUGAUUCCUGUUUCUCGUUCCACUUGCAGUUUAUCAAGAACUUGCUUAUUGUCUUAUCAACUGUUCCUGUUAGUUCUAACAGCCUGUCAGCUGAAGUACUUUUGCCAUGAUCCACAUGUGCAAUGAUACUGAAAUUUCUAGUAUCUUCAACAGGAAAUCUAGAUGUGUCUGGUUUUUCCCAAGAUCACAUUGGAGGAGCUGUGGAAGGAUUAAAUAAGCAGAAUGGAGCCCGCGUGCUCCAGGCUCUGCCACCCUAGAAAUAACUGGAAGCGGGGUCCACUCGCAAUCCCAGGAAGCCCCGAAAGAGUGCAUGGAGCACGCUGUGAAGUCCAGAAGGGGGCGUAAUCACGGGCUUAGAGGCGGUCACCUUGUGCCGUGCAGAGCUGCAGAGCCUGUCGCUAGCCCAGGACCCUGCAGCAGCCCCGUGUCUGGCAGCGGGCCAGAACCGGGGUGGCUGGGGUCGUGCGGCCCCUGUGGCACAUGGCAGGAGCACGCGUCUGUGCCAGCAGCCCCGGCCUGCGAGGGUCCACAUGGCCUGGGCACUGGAGCCCACAAGCUGGUUUGUUCCCAAGAGCCCAGCUAAGCGCCGCAAGGAAGAAUCUGGAUCGCUCUAGAGGCUAAAUCAGGUUGCCUUCCAGUUUUCACCCCACGACUCCCGGCAGGAGGCCAGAAACCAGCACCUUCGCUCUCAUUUUUUGUUCUGUAUACCCUAAAGUUGAAUUGCUAAAUCAUAUGGUAAUUCUGGUUUUAGUUUUUAGAGAAACUACCAUAUAGUUUAAUAUAGUAGCUGUAUCAUUUUCUAUUGCCACUAAUGGUGUUCAUGGUUGCAAUUUCUCCCCAUCCUUGCCAACACUUAUUUUUAAAAAAAUAGUAGCCAUUCUAAUGAGUGUGAGGUGGUAUCUCAUUGUGACUUUAAUUUGCUUUUCCCUAAUGAAGCAUCAAUAUUUUUUCCAGGAAAUUUAUAGUUUAACUCUUCCAUUUAAAUCUUUAAUCCAUUUUGAGUUAAUCUUUAUAUGUAAUGACUUUAUUUUUUUGCAUGUGAACAUACAAUUUUUCCAGAACUACUUGUUGAAAAGACUUUCUCUUCCCAUUUACUGGCCUUGGAAAUCUUGUCAAAAAUAAUUAGGUCACUUGUGAAGGGUUUAUUUCUGUACUGUUUAUUCUAUUCCACUGAUCUAUGUCUGUUUUUAAUGUCUUUAUGUGCCAUACUGUUUUGAUUACUAUAGCUUUGUAAUAAGUUUUGACAAAAUGUGAUUGGUCCAAAGCUGUUCUUUUUCUUAAUUAUUUUGUUAUUCUGGAUCCCCAGUUGAUCUGAGGAUGGAUUUUUCUGUUUCUGCCAAAAAGUACCACUGAGAUUUUGAUAGAAAUUUCAUAAAAUCUUUGGGUUAUUUGGUUAAUACUGAUAUCUGUUUUCAUUUCUUUCUCUCUUUUUUUUUUCGUACCAGGGAUCGAGCUUGGGACCUGGUGCUUGUGAGGUGGUUGGCAGCACCACUGAGCUAAAUCCCCCACCCUGUUUUCAUUUCUUCUGACACAAGAUUAACCAACUUCAAAAUUGUUACACUUAGUUUCUAAAAGAGACAAGGAGAACUGCUGUGCUUAAAGAACUUUCAGAGAUUGUGCACAAUGUGCCCGCAGGGCUGUGUUCCUCUUUUCCCUCCUAGAACCGGUCCAUGUUUUAUUCCCAGCCAGCCUCCUCUUAGCAGAACAGGACAUGAACACUCGUGUAAAAGUCCUUACAAUAUUUGUGCUAGUCAAUCGGCAUAAAUUCAAACGUGCAAUGAUGGAAUCAUUGGUACUACUUUUAAUUCCAGGGAAAAAGGACUUUUUGGUUGAUCAGUGGCAAGUGCCAGCCCGCUAUAAAUGUAGACUCUCUCCCUCCCUUGCUUCCUACAGCAAUAGGCCCUUAACUGCUCCUUAGCAAUUUUGCAUUGCCCAUUUUGCUUCAUAUAUAUAUUUCUUUUUAGGACUGAGAAUUUGAACCUCUUUGACAAGUCUUUAAAAAUGCAUCAUUAUGGGAGAGACUAAUUAUUCUUAGGACUUUGAUAAUCUUUUAUUUUUGAAAGGCCAUUCAUUCAUAUAUAUAUGUAUUUCUUUUUAGGACUGAGAAUUUGAACCUCUUUGACAAGCCUUUAAAAAUGCAUCAUUAUGGGAGAGACUAAUUAUUCUUAGGACUUUGAUAAUCUUUUAUUUUUGAAAGGCCAUCCAUUCACCUGUUUUGUUCAUUCAGAUGAAAAUUAAUAGAACACACAUCAUGAUUUUCAAAGCUAUUUUGAAAUGAUGGAAACCCUGCCCAAACCUUUGAAGAAAAGCACUUGCUUUAAUAGAUUUGAGAAGGUAUCCUAGCAACCACUCUAUAGUGAAAUUUAUCAAUUUCUCAGGGAGAAUUUGUAUUAAAUCCAAGAAAGAGACACUUCAAUUUUAAUUUCUUAGAGUCAUUUUUUCUACAUUGUUUCAGAGAUCGGACAUUCUUAGAUAUCUUCACUCUUGAGACUUCAUUUAAUAACCACUAAAAGCAUAUUUGAUGUUACCCUACAUGGGCUGUCUCCUUCAGUGGUACUGAAUUCCAGCUGGUACAGAAAGAUGAUAGAUAGAUAGGAGGUGUAUAUUUUAAAAUAGUAUAAGAAGCCAAAAAAAGUGCAAAAAUAUUAUAUAUGUAUUUGUGCUUUUUUGUUUUUAUUUCUAUACAUGCAAAAAUAUGGCCCAAAACCUUGUUGACCCUGAGGAAGCCUGAGGCCUAGAAAACAUUCAUUCACACUAAUCUGGCUUUUCUUUGGUUUUAUAAAAGGGAAGAGAUUUAUUUGGUUUUGCUUUCAGAUUUCAGUUAUUUCUAAAUUGAAAACUUUAAAAAAAUGUGAAUGCAAAUGAAAAUAGAAUUUGUUUCCAGAUGUAUAAACACAUCAAGCAUGAAAUGACAUGAACCAAAUAUGCAUUCUGCAAGUAGGAUUCAGAAGUGAGCUGGCUAUUAAAAUUAAAUAGUGUUAACAAUGCAAUUCUAGAUCACCAGGGAAUAGGGCCUGCAUAGAAAAUUCAUAUGCGUGAGAAAGACUUAGUCUCAGGGGUUUUGUUAUCUUGAAAAGCAAAGUGAAACUGCUAUGUGGAUUGGUCUAUGGGGAUUUAUAGUUUGUGUGUUGUUUGCAGUCAUUUAGUGUCUACCUAGAUAUAUAUGCGGAUGUGUACAUGAGGACAUGCAUGCACACAACAUAGUUAUUUUAAUUAUGAUGCUAUGAUAAUUUAGUUGUAGGGAGAGAAUUUCCAUAACUUAGCAGGAAUGCUAAUGUUUCUUUGAUGUAUGCCAGUGACAGAUGAAGACUUUAUUUAUAAUGUAUUAAGAUGAACCCUACAUUUAUAGCUACAGCUUUCUUCUGGAAUGAUGCCAAUUAACAAGAAUACAAGUAGAGCAUACUUUUCCUUCCAAAAUAGCAGGGAUUCAAUAAAGAUUUGUUGAUUUCAUUAUUCUAUAUUCUUCGAUUAGAUUUUUAUUUAAGUAUAAUAUGAAUUAUA
Molecule: long non-coding RNA, 7769 nt
Filed under: Heterocephalus glaber (naked mole-rat)
Lineage: Eukaryota; Metazoa; Chordata; Mammalia; Rodentia; Bathyergidae
Description: lncRNA (ENSHGLG00000043655.1)
Source: RNAcentral